Ipomoea nil (Japanese morning glory) is the source of this 286-nucleotide long non-coding RNA. RefSeq lists it as uncharacterized. The record is from RefSeq and is a predicted model, not a curated record. The transcript is spliced from 3 exons. NCBI's taxonomy places the organism in Eukaryota, Viridiplantae, Streptophyta, Magnoliopsida, Solanales, Convolvulaceae.
AAUUGUGUUUCGUUGUUUGUGAUCAGGUAGACGGGUACUCCAAAUCGGGUGAUUACAUUUUUCCAUAGGAACUUUUGACACUGCUGAGAGGUGAUAGUUGUCAAUGUUUUCGCCUCCACCCACUUGGUGAAGUUGUCGAUGGUCACUAUCACAUAUUUCUUUCGAUCGGCCUCCAUUGGGAAUGCCCCGGUCAGGUCAACCCCCAUAUUGCGAAUGGUAUUACUUCGCUGACCGGUUGAUAGUAGGUAGCCCGUCGACCGGGUAACUUGGGAAAUUCUGGACAAGU